CGCUGGCGGCGUGCCUAAUACAUGCAAGUAGAACGCACAGUUUAUACCGUAGCUUGCUACACCAUAGACUGUGAGUUGCGAACGGGUGAGUAACGCGUAGGUAACCUGCCUGGUAGCGGGGGAUAACUAUUGGAAACGAUAGCUAAUACCGCAUAAUAUUGAUUAUUGCAUGAUAAUUGAUUGAAAGAUGCUAUUGCAUCACUACCAGAUGGACCUGCGUUGUAUUAGCUAGUAGGUGAGGUAACGGCUCACCUAGGCGACGAUACAUAGCCGACCUGAGAGGGUGAUCGGCCACACUGGGACUGAGACACGGCCCAGACUCCUACGGGAGGCAGCAGUAGGGAAUCUUCGGCAAUGGACGAAAGUCUGACCGAGCAACGCCGCGUGAGUGAAGAAGGUUUUCGGAUCGUAAAGCUCUGUUGUAAGAGAAGAACGGGUGUGAGAGUGGAAAGUUCACACUGUGACGGUAUCUUACCAGAAAGGGACGGCUAACUACGUG
RNAcentral lists this ribosomal RNA (499 nucleotides) under uncultured bacterium. RNAcentral's name for it is "partial 16S ribosomal RNA". It matches the Rfam family "Bacterial small subunit ribosomal RNA", at positions 34 to 507 of the family's 1533-position model. The record is from RNAcentral.